Molecule: ribosomal RNA, 468 nt
Filed under: uncultured bacterium
Lineage: Bacteria
Description: partial 16S ribosomal RNA
Rfam family: Bacterial small subunit ribosomal RNA
Source: RNAcentral
GACGAACGCUGGCGGCGUGCUUAACACAUGCAAGUCGAACGGAAAGGCCCUGCUUUUGUGGGGUGCUCGAGUGGCGAACGGGUGAGUAACACGUGUGUAACCUGCCCUUGACUUUGGGAUAACUUCAGGAAACUGGGGCUAAUACCGGAUAGGAGCUCCUGCUGCAUGGUGUGGGUUGGAAAGUUUCGGCGGUUGGGGAUGGACUCGCGGCUUAUCAGCUUGUUGGUGGGGUAGUGGCUUACCAAGGCUUUGACGGGUAGCCGGCCUGAGAGGGUGACCGGCCACAUUGGGACUGAGAUACGGCCCAGACUGCUACGGGAGGCAGCAGUGGGGAAUAUUGCACAAUGGGCGGAAGCCUGAUGCAGCAACGCCGCGUGCGGGAUGACGGCCUUCGGGUUGUAAACCGCUUUAGCCUGUGACGAAGCGUGAGUGACGGUAAUGGGUAAAGAAGCACCGGCUAACUACGUG